GUCUUUUUGAUAANUAANUUUAAAGUCUAGUCUGCCCUAUGNANNAUUANUUAAAUGGCCGCAGNNUAUUUUAACUGUGCGAAGGUAGCAUAAUAAUUAGUUUUUUAAUUGAAAGCUGGAAUGAAUGGCUGAACGAGAAAAUAACUGUCUCAAUUUNAAAUUUUUUAAAAUUUUAUAUUUAAGUUAAAAAGCUUAAAUUUUUUUAAAAGACGAGAAGACCCUAUAGAGUUUNAAUAAUUUUUUAANUUUANAUNAUNUUUUAGNUAAUNUNNNUUUGAAUUNUAAAAAAUUAUUUUAUUGGGGUGAUAAAUAAAUUUAAUAAACUUUANUNUUUUNUUUUUACAUAAAUUUAUGAAUAUAUGAUCCAUAAUUNAAUGAUUAUAAGAUUAAAUUACCUUAGGGAUAACAGCGUAAUCUUUUUAAAGAGUUCUAAUCGAAAAAAAGGAUUGCGACCUCGAUGUUGGAUUAAAGUUAAUUUUAGGUGUAGAAGCUNUANAAAAUUAGGUCUGUUCGACCUUUAAAACUUUACAUGAUCUGAGNUUAAACCGGUAUGAGCCAGG
Molecule: ribosomal RNA, 560 nt
Filed under: Coelometopon drakensbergense
Lineage: Eukaryota; Metazoa; Arthropoda; Insecta; Coleoptera; Hydraenidae
Description: partial large subunit ribosomal RNA
Rfam family: Bacterial large subunit ribosomal RNA (bases 402-560)
Source: RNAcentral